Molecule: ribosomal RNA, 542 nt
Filed under: uncultured bacterium
Lineage: Bacteria
Description: bacterial SSU rRNA
Rfam family: Bacterial small subunit ribosomal RNA
Source: RNAcentral
UAGAGUUUGAUCCUGGCUCAGGACGAACGCUGGCGGCGCGCUUAAUACAUGCAAGUCGAGCGAGAACCAGGGCUUCGGCCCUGGGGACAGCGGCGAACGGGUGAGUAACACGUGGGUAAUCAACCCCCGACACCGGGAUAGCCCGGGGAAACCCGGAUUAAUACCGGAUGCUCCGUCUGGCUUUCGGGCCGGCCGGAAAAGGGUAGCUUCGGCCUCCGGUCGGGGACGAGCCCGCGGCGGAUUAGCUUGUUGGUGAGGUAAAGGCUCACCAAGGCGACGAUCCGUAGCUGGUCUGAGAGGACGAUCAGCCACACUGGGACUGAGACACGGCCCAGACUCCUACGGGAGGCAGCAGUAGGGAAUCUUGCGCAAUGGGCGAAAGCCUGACGCAGCGACGCCGCGUGAGGGAAGAAGGCCUUCGGGUUGUAAACCUCUUUCAGGAGGGACGAAGCCACUCAGGUUAAUAGCCGAGAGGGUGACGGUACCUCCAGAAGAAGCCCCGGCUAACUACGUGCCAGCAGCCGCGGUAAUGCCCAAUCGCC